UUACUCUUCAUAGAUGAAAAGUCCCUUACAGGGACUUCUUCUGGGCCAGGCAGGACCUGCAUUAAACUGGAUACAUAUGCUGACAGAGGGUUUGGAAUUGAUCAGUCGUUCUGAUCAUCCAUUAAGCUGGGUUCAGCACAUUGCCUUUGGAAAGAAGGGGAAGAUGAACUUCUGACCACAGACACAGUACAGAUGAGACAGGAAAAACAAGCCAGAAGGAUCAGGUCCAGCUGAUUGGAAGGUUGAGGUCCAACCAGGCAUUGCAAAUGCUGAAAAUAUUCAGUGAGGAAAGAGUCUCAGAGACAGCAUUACUGCUUUCUCUGAAGUCCUCCUGGACUUCUGGGAACAGAAGAUGACAAGAAUAUGAGUGUUCUCAACAAAUCCAACACUGAAGGAUGCUAUUUAGCACAAGGA
This is a long non-coding RNA of Vidua macroura (Pin-tailed whydah), 414 nucleotides long. RefSeq lists it as uncharacterized. The transcript has 3 exons. NCBI's taxonomy places the organism in Eukaryota, Metazoa, Chordata, Aves, Passeriformes, Viduidae. The record is from RefSeq and is a predicted model, not a curated record.